RNAcentral lists this ribosomal RNA (488 nucleotides) under uncultured bacterium. Its description in RNAcentral is "partial 16S ribosomal RNA". It matches the Rfam family "Bacterial small subunit ribosomal RNA", at positions 30 to 506 of the family's 1533-position model. The record is from RNAcentral.
AUUGAACGCUGGCGGCAGGCCUAACACAUGCAAGUCGAACGGUAACAGGAAGAAGCUUGCUUCUUUGCUGACGAGUGGCGGACGGGUGAGUAAUGUCUGGGAAACUGCCUGAUGGAGGGGGAUAACUACUGGAAACGGUAGCUAAUACCGCAUAACGUCGCAAGCCCAAGAGGGGGGACCUUCGGGCCUCUUGCCUCCGAUGUGCCCAGGAGGGGUUUGCUAGUAGGUGGGGGAACGGCUCACCUAGGGGACGAUCCCUAGCUGGUCUGAAAGGAUGACCAGCCACCCUGGAACUGAGACACGGUCCAGACUCCUACGGGAGGCAGCAGUGGGGAAUAUUGCACAAUGGGCGCAAGCCUGAUGCAGCCAUGCCGCGUGUAUGAAGAAGGCCUUCGGGUUGUAAAGUACUUUCAGCGGGGAGGAAGGGAGUAAAGUUAAUACCUUUACUCAUUGACGUUACCCGCAGAAGAAGCACCGGCUAACUCCGU